This 1291-nucleotide ribosomal RNA is filed under the name Escherichia coli O26:H11. Its description in RNAcentral is "bacterial LSU rRNA". It matches the Rfam family "Bacterial large subunit ribosomal RNA", at positions 1475 to 2746 of the family's 2925-position model. Lineage: Bacteria; Pseudomonadati; Pseudomonadota; Gammaproteobacteria; Enterobacterales; Enterobacteriaceae. The record is from RNAcentral.
GAGAAGGCUAUGUUGGCCGGGCGACGGUUGUCCCGGUUUAAGCGUGUAGGCUGGUUUUCCAGGCAAAUCCGGAAAAUCAAGGCUGAGGCGUGAUGACGAGGCACUACGGUGCUGAAGCAACAAAUGCCCUGCUUCCAGGAAAAGCCUCUAAGCAUCAGGUAACAUCAAAUCGUACCCCAAACCGACACAGGUGGUCAGGUAGAGAAUACCAAGGCGCUUGAGAGAACUCGGGUGAAGGAACUAGGCAAAAUGGUGCCGUAACUUCGGGAGAAGGCACGCUGAUAUGUAGGUGAAGUCCCUCGCGGAUGGAGCUGAAAUCAGUCGAAGAUACCAGCUGGCUGCAACUGUUUAUUAAAAACACAGCACUGUGCAAACACGAAAGUGGACGUAUACGGUGUGACGCCUGCCCGGUGCCGGAAGGUUAAUUGAUGGGGUUAGCGCAAGCGAAGCUCUUGAUCGAAGCCCCGGUAAACGGCGGCCGUAACUAUAACGGUCCUAAGGUAGCGAAAUUCCUUGUCGGGUAAGUUCCGACCUGCACGAAUGGCGUAAUGAUGGCCAGGCUGUCUCCACCCGAGACUCAGUGAAAUUGAACUCGCUGUGAAGAUGCAGUGUACCCGCGGCAAGACGGAAAGACCCCGUGAACCUUUACUAUAGCUUGACACUGAACAUUGAGCCUUGAUGUGUAGGAUAGGUGGGAGGCUUUGAAGUGUGGACGCCAGUCUGCAUGGAGCCGACCUUGAAAUACCACCCUUUAAUGUUUGAUGUUCUAACGUUGACCCGUAAUCCGGGUUGCGGACAGUGUCUGGUGGGUAGUUUGACUGGGGCGGUCUCCUCCUAAAGAGUAACGGAGGAGCACGAAGGUUGGCUAAUCCUGGUCGGACAUCAGGAGGUUAGUGCAAUGGCAUAAGCCAGCUUGACUGCGAGCGUGACGGCGCGAGCAGGUGCGAAAGCAGGUCAUAGUGAUCCGGUGGUUCUGAAUGGAAGGGCCAUCGCUCAACGGAUAAAAGGUACUCCGGGGAUAACAGGCUGAUACCGCCCAAGAGUUCAUAUCGACGGCGGUGUUUGGCACCUCGAUGUCGGCUCAUCACAUCCUGGGGCUGAAGUAGGUCCCAAGGGUAUGGCUGUUCGCCAUUUAAAGUGGUACGCGAGCUGGGUUUAGAACGUCGUGAGACAGUUCGGUCCCUAUCUGCCGUGGGCGCUGGAGAACUGAGGGGGGCUGCUCCUAGUACGAGAGGACCGGAGUGGACGCAUCACUGGUGUUCGGGUUGUCAUGCCAAUGGCACUGCCCGGU